This 962-nucleotide long non-coding RNA is filed under the name Anas platyrhynchos platyrhynchos (common mallard). Its description in RNAcentral is "lncRNA (ENSAPLG00000020355.1)". Lineage: Eukaryota; Metazoa; Chordata; Aves; Anseriformes; Anatidae. The record is from RNAcentral.
AUAUACUAUGUCAACAUAACUUCCUCUUCAAGAUGUAGUAAUAAAUUGUUGUCUCCUGGCCUUUUCAAGACCACCUCAUCCCUGCCUCAGUCCUGUUUUACUGGUGGGGUUUAUGGACUUGUGCUCUACACUCGCUUUCAUCUUCAGUUCUGGCAGUUGCCUUGGCUGUACUGAACCCUGUGCCAUGGUUGAUCCUGACAUUGAACUGAUCUGUGAAAUUUUGUUGGUUGUUGAAAGGUUUAUUGAUAUGUGCUUAUUUGACAGCAAGUUUAGCACCUUGUAUACUCUCUGCAGGGAACUGUUCUCUAAACAGAGUGCACCUUGACAUCUUAAACUUCAGACAAGUAAAUGCCCAGCCUGCGAGAACAGGAAGGAGACAUGUUGCAUCUGUGCUGGAAGAACAGUGUGUGACCUCCUCCUGAAAUCCAUCCGUCCAGAGGAGUCAGCACCUUGUCUUUGUAAAUGAUGUCUAUGAGUGUGAGAUUGUCACUGGAGGAACCAAGGUGGAAAUGGAUCCAAAAGUUCAUGACAUCCUAUUCUCAAAGUAUCGUACUGGAGGUUUUACUUCUGGUGCAAAUUUUGCCAUGUAAAAAUAGAUGGGAUAUUAAAAAUUAGAUAUACACAUUUAACUUUUUUAUGCUUCUGACACUGACCUAAAAACACUGCAAGGCUACAGCGUAAACAGGGAACAAAAAGGUGCCACUUUAAAUAUACUGUUUUCUUAUACAUUACCACCUGGUUUAUUUUCCUGUGCUAACACAAUCCAUUAAAAUAUUUUCCAAGAACCACUGUGACUGGGGACUUCAUGCUAUCAAGUCAGUUCUGGUAGCUGCUGGCUUACUGAAAUGUAGAAAGAACAGACCUGAGGACCAGGUACAACCUUCAUUUACAAGCAGGAGUAAGAGUUGAUCCUGGUGUUCUGUCUGAAUAAAAACAGAAUCCUAAAAAGAGAAGGGUUUAAU